Molecule: small RNA, 214 nt
Organism: Halanaeroarchaeum sulfurireducens
Lineage: Archaea; Methanobacteriati; Methanobacteriota; Halobacteria; Halobacteriales; Halobacteriaceae
Rfam family: Sense overlapping transcript RNA 0042 (sot)
About the family: It is associated with IS1341-type transposase (tnpB) genes, at the 3'-end in H. salinarum NRC-1. The tetraloop structural motif may be functional.
Source: Rfam
AGAUAACUCAGAAUCCUCCUACGGGGGAUAUGAGUAACGGUCGUUUGGCACGGCCAGCAGUCCACCUGUUCAAUCAAACCUCGGGGCGUUUCGCACCGAGCGAACAGGUUGGUUGCAAACCGUAAUAUCCCAACGCUGAGCGAACCAGAGGUUCGCGACGUACGCGAAUCUUUGAUUCGCUUGACUCGGGAAUCCUCGCCCUUUAGGGCGGGGA